Molecule: ribosomal RNA, 253 nt
Filed under: uncultured prokaryote
Description: partial 16S ribosomal RNA
Rfam family: Bacterial small subunit ribosomal RNA
Source: RNAcentral
ACAGAGGUCCCGAGCGUUGUUCGGAUUCACUGGGCGUAGAGGGUGCGUAGGUGGUGAGGUAAGUCGGAUGUGAAAUCUCCGGGCUCAACCCGGAAACGGCAUUGGAAACUACCUUGCUUGAGGUUUUGAGGGGGGACUGGAAUUCUCGGUGUAGCAGUGAAAUGCGUAGAUAUCGAGAGGAACACCGGUGGCGAAGGCGAGUCCCUGGAAAACACCUGACACUGAGGCACGAAAGCUAGGGGAGCAAACAGGA